Molecule: transfer RNA, 74 nt
Filed under: Loxodonta africana (African savanna elephant)
Lineage: Eukaryota; Metazoa; Chordata; Mammalia; Proboscidea; Elephantidae
Rfam family: tRNA
About the family: Transfer RNA (tRNA) molecules are approximately 80 nucleotides in length. Their secondary structure includes four short double-helical elements and three loops (D, anti-codon, and T loops).
Source: Rfam by way of RNAcentral
CCCUGGGUGGUGCAAAGUGUUAACAUGUUUGGCUGCUAACCGAAAGGUUGGUGGUUUGAGUCCACCCAGAGGCG